Molecule: ribosomal RNA, 433 nt
Filed under: uncultured bacterium
Lineage: Bacteria
Description: partial 16S ribosomal RNA
Rfam family: Bacterial small subunit ribosomal RNA
Source: RNAcentral
AACGAACGCUGGCGGCAUGCCUAACACAUGCAAGUCGAACGAGACCUUCGGGUCUAGUGGCGCACGGGUGCUUAACGCGUGGUAACCUGCCCUUAGGUUCGGAAUAACUCCCCGAAAGGGGUGCUAAUACCGGAUAAUGUCUUCGGACCAAAGAUUUAUCGCCUUUGGAUGGGCCCGCGUUGGAUUAGCUAGUUGGUAGGGUAAAAGCCUACCAUGGCGACGAUCCUUAGCUGGUCUGAGAGGAGGAUCAGUCACACUGGGAAUGAGACACGGCCCAGACGGCUACGAGAGGGAGCGGUGGGGAAUAAAGGACAAUGGGCGAAAGCCUGAUCCAGCAAGGCCGGGUGAGUGAUGAAGGCCUUAGGGUUGUAAAGCUCUUAUACCCGGGAUGAGAAUGACAGUACCGGGAGAAUAAGCGCCGGCUAACUCCGUG